CUGAGAGGACGAUCAGCCACACUGGGACUGAGAUAUGACCCAGAGUCCUACGGGAGUUAGCAUCCGGGAAUCUUGCACAAUGUGCGCAAGCCUGAUGCAGUGACGCCGCGUGGGUGAUGAAGUGUCUGCGGAUCGUAAAGCCCUGUCAGGAGGGAAGAGACCCGACUGUAGCUCCAAAGGAAGCUCCGGCUAACUACGUGCCAGCAGACGCGGUAAAACGUAGGGAGCUAGCGUUGUCCGGAAUAACUGGGCGUAAAGGGCACGCAGGCGCGUCUGAAAAGCGGUGGUUGCAAUCUCGAGGCUCAACUUCGAAAGUGCUCGCCGAAGUAUCAGACUAGAGCAUGGAAGAGGACAAGUGCAAUUCCCGGGUGUAACGGUGGAAUGCGUAGAUAUCGGGAGGAACACCAGUGGCGAAGGCUGCUGUCUGGAACAAUCGCUGACGCUGAGGUGCCGAAAGCCAGGGGAGCGAACGGGAUUAGAUACCCCCGGUAGUCCUGGCCGUAAACGAUGCUCACUAGGUGUUACCGGCAUUAACCCCGGUAGUGCUGUUCUGCUUACGCGUUAAGUGAGCCGCCUGGGGAGUACGGCCGCAUAGGCUGAAACUCAAAGGAAUUGCCGGGGGCCCGCACAAGCGGUGGAGCAUGUGGGUCACUUGGAUGCUACGCCAAGAACCUUACCAGGGCUUGACAUGUUGGGACCCGCCUGAGAGAUCAGGCUUUCUCAGCAAGGAGACCCCAUCACAGCUGCUGCAUGGCUGUCGUCAGCUCGUGUCGUGAGAUGUUGGGUUAAGUCCCGCUCUGAGCGCAACCCUCACCGGAUGUUGCCAUCGGUUCGACCGGGCACUCUUCCGGAACUGCACUGAGUAAUCAGGAGGAAGGCGAGGAUGACGUCAAGUCCGCAUGCCCCUUAUGUCCUGGACUGCACACGUGCUACAAUGGCCGGU
Molecule: ribosomal RNA, 943 nt
Filed under: uncultured organism
Description: bacterial SSU rRNA
Rfam family: Bacterial small subunit ribosomal RNA
Source: RNAcentral